This 227-nucleotide unclassified non-coding RNA is filed under the name plant metagenome. RNAcentral describes it as "partial contains small subunit ribosomal RNA, internal transcribed spacer 1, and 5.8S ribosomal RNA". The record is from RNAcentral.
UUUCCGUAGGUGAACCUGCGGAAGGAUCAUCAAAGAAUUUGCCCCGUCCUCUCGAGGAUGGGUCCUCUUCUAAACCGUGUAUACAUACCUUUGUUGCUUUGGCGGGCCGCCGUCUCGGCGUUGGCUUCGGCUGACUGUGCCCGCCAGAGAACCCCAACUCUUCUGUUUAGUAUUGUCUGAGUACUAUAUAAUAGUUAAAACUUUCAACAACGGAUCUCUUGGUUCUG